This 2010-nucleotide long non-coding RNA is filed under the name Triticum aestivum (bread wheat). RNAcentral's name for it is "long non-coding RNA (TAES_LNC025593)". Lineage: Eukaryota; Viridiplantae; Streptophyta; Magnoliopsida; Poales; Poaceae. The record is from RNAcentral.
UGAGUAUAAUCAGAAAAUGAAGAGGCUGGCAAAGGGCCACAAAAACAGAGAAGAGGCAUGCCGAAAGCAUAUUCAUGGUAAUGUAAAAAGAAAUCAGUUAGUAAGCUCGACAAAACAAAUGGCAGUCUAUAACACCAUUACAUAGGGCAAAGGGACAAUAGUUUUCCAGCAUUGUUCAGUGAUGCAGGGAUAAGGGGAACAUGACAAUAAUAUACAUACAUUCAUAGGCAAAGGUAGACCACCCAAAUAAGGGGAACAUGACAAAGAUGAGACGAUCAACAAACGAACUAACACAACAUCACACAAACCAAACACUACAGAGAAGUCCUCAGCUUGAUCAACCAACCAUUGCAUAAAGAAAAUAUAAAAGGAUGACAACUAAAGAAAAUAGAAGAAUAUAAGCUUAACUGGCGAACAAAUAGCUUCUGCACUCACUGCAUAUAGCUAAUUAGCUAUACUAUUAAGUACUAAAAUAAAGAAUAGUCUGUUUGCCUGAAAGCUAUUUUUUAUAUCCAUCGCAUCAAAUCGAUUUAGGAUUUAACUCCACAACAACCGAAAGUAUCAGUGUGCGCACAUUUCAGUUAUGUUUCCUAAUAGGCAGUAGGUUUUAGAAGUAUCAUAAGAAACCAAAGAAUGAACUUGCCUGCCUCACCUAUCAUCUGGAGAUUAAUAGAAGGCCAAACCAACGCUGCCAAGCAUUUUUAGAAUUGGAUCCCAAACAAAUGGGAAAUGAUGCCUAGAAUGAAAAGGCUGCACAAGGCACACAAGAAUAAUCUAAAUCGGGGUAAUUAAAAAAAUGGAAUAUUACCAAGCCUACUACGAAGCAGGAUGCUCAACAACUCAUAUCUUUUGAGGAACAUUUUUACACAUCAAAAAUUCAGAAGCGUACAAAUAGAGCCAAUAAAUAUGGAUACUGUAUUCUGAAUCACCCAAAAUUAGCUGAGCUAUUCACACCCAAAAGUAGGCAAAGAAAGGUAUAUUUCUGUAGUUAGACUUAUAGUUGCAUAAGCACCCUUGCAUGCGGUACGAUGUCAUCAUGACCGAAUCUAUGAAACUGAAAAUACAUUGUUGUGUACUAAUUUUGGCUCCUCGGAAGCUAGUACAAAAGAAGAGGAUCCAAUUGGAUAUUGUUCUUAUCUUCCUAGAAAAGAAAGGUAAAAAACUGAUUCAGUGCUGAUUCCAGGUAGGCAAAUAAUCUAUUCACCUUGAUUAACCCACGAGUUUAUAUACUUAUUCCUCGAUUUUAUCUUGUCUAGUAGGUUUGCAAUAGAUGCUGGGAUAGGUUACUCAAUCUGAGGUAAUGGAGUAGAUCAAACGACUGGGCCACUCAAAUGUGAUUUUCAUCAGUUAGUCAUCACGGAACUGGCAUACUUCUUCCCUCGAUUUUCUUCUGUCGAGUAGGUUCUUUAUUAGAGAUGGAAUCAGAAGGGGAGAUGUUAUAUCCUCAAUAUGCAAAUUCAAGCUAAACAGUCAGAAGCAACAAACUGAAUGUCCUAGCAAAACAACAAACUGUACUACAAGAGUCUGAAGAAUUUCUCGGCUGCACCAUUACUAAUGAAGUUAACAUCCACCCGCCAAAUGAUAUUUGAUCUAGGGGUAGGAUAAAGAGAAUUAAGGGGCAUAAUGAGAAAGGAUGCAGAAUAGGUAACAACAAUAAGGCGAAGGUGUCGCAGCUAUGCGAGAUUCUAUCUGUUUGUUCGCGUUUAAAAACAGUUUUUUUAUCUGUCUCACUUCAUGAACUGAUAAUUGGAUAUUGACUCUAACUGCAAUAUUUUUUUGUUUGUGUGAAUGACAUAGUUAAUAUUCAUUCAUCAUUAUGUACAAUUUUGUUGCAACUGAAAUAUAUGUAUUUCUACCUAUCGGAAUGCUUAGACUUUCCUGUCUACAUAUAUAUCACAAAAUAACAAGUUAGAUGCUUGCAGAAAACACAUAAAUUACCAGAUAUCUUGUAACGCAGUAUAAAAUACCUUGUGGUUCUGGGCAAUAUUGACCCUCUUCUUAAUAGCCCCA